RNAcentral lists this ribosomal RNA (182 nucleotides) under uncultured bacterium. RNAcentral describes it as "partial 16S ribosomal RNA". It matches the Rfam family "Bacterial small subunit ribosomal RNA", at positions 1317 to 1500 of the family's 1533-position model. The record is from RNAcentral.
UACAUGAAGCUGGAGUUGCAGUAAUCGCGGAUCAGCAUGCCGCGGUGAAUACGUCCCGGGCCUUGUACACACCGCCCGUCACACCAUGGAAGUCGGUAAUGCCCGAAGUCAGUAGCCUAACCGCAAGGAGGGCGCUGCCGAAGGCAGGAUUGAUGACUGGGGUGAAGUCGUAACAAGGUAAC